UGUGGUAACUUUAUUUUAACCACAAUAACUACUUGGGGAAGUUAUCUGAUGGGAUGAGAAGAUAACUUAGUGAAGAGAAGAGAGGAAACUCGACCAAAGAGGAUAAGGGAGGUUAAGGAAGGAUAAGGGAUCACUUUGACAGCCUGUAUGAUGCUGGAAAGGAGAGGAUGCUUUUCUACUAGUGCAAGCAUGUGAGAAAGCACAGCCAAGUGAUUCAAAAGGAGUUCCAGCCUGUCCUUUGACUACACAUGCUUACCCAUUUCGAAUUUCCUUGUUGCUCUCUCUAUUAAUACUUGUAAACCUCACAGUUAUUAAUUAAUGGAGUUUUGAGUCUCUCUCUCUUUAUUCUCUCACUAGAAUCUCUUAAUCUCUUUAAUCUUUUCAUAUGAUUAUCCCUGAUUGGUUGAAUCAUGCUCUAAUACACAAAAGUGUAUAUUCUUGACAUCUUCUAGAGCUUUCCCUAUUGUUGUACAAGCUCUAUCUUCUCUUCAGUUCAACACUCCCCCUCAAGCUUGACUUUAGGAGAUCCUAAGCCAAGCUUGGAACUCUGAAGAGUCUCCCUCAUUAAAAACCUUACAAGGAAAACCCAUUGGGACAAAACCUUGCAAGGGAAAAAGAGUAGAGCUCUCCAAAGCCUAGGGAUUGGCCAGUGAGCUCUUGUGCCUUAGAACCAAUGUGGUUGGACACAAGAAGCUCUGGAUCACGGCCUAGCAGGUGCAGCAACUCUUCACAGCUUUGCCCACACUUCACACUUCACACUUCACACUUCAGCUUCACCUCUUCAUGGAACCGGUUUGAAGUCUCCCCCUCUCAACUGACUUCACAGCCAUCUUAGAGAAGCUAGGACACGACCAGAUCAUCUUCAAAACACUAGUGAGGCUGAUCAACACUUCACACACGGCUUGCCCUCUUCAUAAAACUGGUUUGGACCUCCCCCUCUCAACAGACUUCUCAGCCAUCUUAGAGAAGCUAGGAACUGACCAGGAACAUCUUUAGUGAGGCUCAAGCAAUGGUACCUGAUACAUUAUCCCAAAGGUGCAUCAGUACCUAUCAAAAACAAGAAAAUGAAUAUCCUGCAUCAUACUUGAUGCACACAAUCUCACAAUUCAAUCAUAAUCAUCUUAAGUAUCUUUUCAAGCACAAGCAAUGAAUAAGAUGAAUGAAAAAGAUUGAAAAGAGUUUUAAAAGUCUAAGGGAACUUCCCUUGUGUUUUUGUGAGUUUCCAAACUCUCUCAAUGCACCAUCUUCAUGGCAUCAUCAACUUCUUGGAAAGGCAGAAUGGAUUGAUCAGCUUCUCCUCAAUCACCUCUCAUUGAAGCCGCAUUGAUGGAGAGCCUUCCUCCUCACUCGCCAAGGCUGCUCUGAACAGCCUCUUGCCAUGGAUCAUAUGCAUUAAGACUCCCCCUCAAGCUUAGAACCGAGACUAGAAGGAGCUAAGCUUGUGAUGAUCCUAUGCAUCUCCAUGGUCUAAUAACUAUCAUCUUUUAUGAUAGCUUUCUUCUUGUGAGUUUACUCUCUUCCUUAACCAGGAACUAGGGUGUUUGAAUCACCAUAGAGAGUCUCACAAGACACACCUCUCAUUGCAUAAUGACCCAUGCUACACUUCCUGUAGACUAAGGACUAGAUAUGUCCAAUGGUAUUAUGCAAUGGCUAUCUCUCAUUGCAUACUCAAUCACACUACACUUCCUGUAGAUUAUGGACUAACAUGUCCUAGUGAUGAUAUGCAAUGGCACAAGACCUUUGUCUUUACAUUCUUGGUUGUUGGCGAGUUACAUGUAUCCCAUUCCUUGUGCACCUAACACCACCACAACUCAAUGCAAGAUCAGAUCAUCCCAUUGGGAUCAAACCAAGAUUAUCCAUCCUGUUUGAUCACCAAUGCCACAAUAAUAUAUAAUACUUGAAACAAGCUAGACAAUCAAGACAAUCAAGCAAAGACAAUCAAUUCAGUUUUGUUUUUUUUUUUUUAAAUGCAACAAUAGAUGACUGCAUUAUAGGUUACACACUAACUAUAUGAAUGAAACAGAUUCAAUCUAAAUGGAACACAAGUCUAGAUGAUACUUAUGCAAUCAAGGCGACAAGAGUGACUCAAUUCAUGCUUAUGCUCACUAGUUUUAUCAAAGCCAAUGAUUCAAAUAGCUUAGACAUACUUCUAAGUGCUUAUAAGACAUCACUGAUGGAUUUAACUAUAGCAACAAUCAGAACUGGACUGAGUCAAGACAAGUAGAUUUCAAUCUCUAAUAAUGGCAAUGCAAGUUCUAUUUUUUUUUUUUUUUUAAGUUCUCUAAAUGCAAUGCAAGCCUAUCAGUACAUUUGCAAUUUAGGCUCAUUUUUAAAUGCAUUACUAUAUGAAUGCACAAUCUUAAAGCUUUAGCUAUAUGAAUGCAACAGGUUUAAUCCAUGAGCAAUAUUAAGGCUAUGCACAACAGUUUCAAUCAAAACCAAUGAUGCAAACAACUUAGACAAUUUCUAAUUGAUGCAAGACUUUCAUUGAUGGAUUAAACAUAGACAAUAGCAUCAGAUAACAAUAGGAUUGAACUUAGACAGUAUGAGAUAUGCUUAUGUAUGCAAAAUAACUUAUCAAUCAUGAUGCAAGCAGCAGAGACAUUCUACUCAAUUCUACAACACAUUCAUGAUGAUUCAAGCUAUGACAAUCCUCAAGACAAUGCAAUAAACAGAACAUGAGAUUCUGGGACUCUAGACAUUACUUACUAUCAAUAUGACAAUGCAGCAGCAAAACAAUUUCAGUGCAAUUAGCCUAGACAUUCUACUAGAGGCUAUAAACUCUUAAUGGAAUUAGGGAAAGCACAUAGUAUAAUCAGAUGAUAAACCUAUCAAGACAUAUUAAGAUAGAUGAGAUUAGGUUUACUCCCUUGGUUAAGAUGAUGAGAAAUGGUUCUCAAAGUUACCACUUGAAUCCUUACUUCUUCUUCUUCUCUUAUUGCAAUCACCCUCCUGAAUUCACCACCAUGAUGGAAUGCUUGUGGAUGCUUCAGCUACUUCUUCAAUCACCUCACACUAGAGGCCGCCUUGAUAGAGUAGCCUUCUUCUUCACACAGCCAAGAGUGCUCUGUCUUAGUUUGAACACCCUCUUGAAUAGGCACGCCACUGCCUAGACCCGGUUGGCUUCUUCUUCAGUUACUUGCAAUGGUAGUAGGAAGACCAGUGAGCUUCAAGUGGGUUUUACAACCAUCUGCGCUUCACCCUUCUUGUAGUAACUCUCCAUUGCACACACAAUGGACACCAUUCUUUCUCUUUAAACUCGGAUUUGAUGAUGAACUAGGAACACCUUUUGUGAACCUGAAACAUCACUCAAACUCUAGCCAAGAUAAGACACAAUUGCAUUGGGAUCAAUCCUUGACCUCAUCAAGUUUGAUCACCAAUGUCUCAAGCUUUAUAACAUUAGAUAGAAUCAAGACAAUGUCAAGUUCUUAUCUAUGCAAGCAACCAUUCUCUAAAUACUAAGCAAGACCUUAUCAGAUUCAAGUCAAAGUAUUUAGGCAAUUUUAAUCACUCCUUAAUAUGCAACUUAGACUUUAAUCUAAAUGCAACAAUACAAGGCAGCAACAAGGCAGUAUGCAUUAAUUUUAAUCAGUUUCUAACUCAUGAAAGCAAGUAUGAUUAGAUACUAUAAUCUAUCAUCUUAACAAGACAAGUUAAUUUCGAGCUGACAUUAAGCAUUUAACCAUUUUCAAUAGUAUUGAUGUCAAAACUUGAUUAAUAAAUCAUCAAGUUUGAUUCCCAAUAUUACAAGCAAUGCAACAGAUAGACACAAGGCAUUAUCAAGUUCUAUUCUUUGCAAGCUAGCUCUCUAAGUACAAGCAAGAUCCUAACAGAUUCAAGACAAGUUACUUAGGCACUUUUAAAAGCUUCUUUACUCAGCACUUUAGACAUGAAUCUAAUGCUUCAAUGUAAGACAGCCACAAGACUAUAUGCAACAGCUUUAAAUUCAGUUUCAAUCCAUGUAUGCAAGCAGAUUCAGUUAAUCACACUAAGCAUCACUAUGAAACGAAGCUAAGCAUAUUAAUCACAUUCAGUCACCAAACAAAGCUCUUAAAGUAUCCUGGGACAGAUUCUAAACAUUUUAAUUUAUCAAUCUUUAACAAUCCUCAGGUUUUCAAUCACAUCACACAUUAUAACCAGUCAACAACACAAGCUCAUUAUCAAGAUGGUUUAUAUAGAAUCGCUUACAGCAAGGAACCAGGUUGAUUCCUUUUGCAUUUUAUGAACCCAGCCUUGACUUUUGUUGGAUCUAAGAGUCUGGAUUGUCCUCCAUCUCCUUCUCCUUCAGUUCAUGGCCACCAUCUUGUACCAUCAACUCAAAAGACCCCUCCUUUCUUCAUAACUUCUCUGCCCCAAGUUUAUGACACCAUCUUGUUUGUAACAGGAUGAGAACUUCUCUUGGACAAGGCGCCUUGGAGUCUGGUCUGCUAGGCCUCUCCAUACACCUUUGCUUCCAAGGAGAAUCACCAUCUGGACGGAUAGAGAACAGGAUGAGGAACCAAGAACACACACACCAUGGCUUCAGCCUUCAUCUUCUUGUAGAAACUGAAAUCGCAUAGAAAUGGCUUCAAGGUUUGGAUUUGAGCUGAGGAGUGAGCUGUGGACUUGUGGAAUUGUACAAGCUCUAUCUUCUCUUCAGUUCAACAUAAAUCUCAUAGGAGUUGGCAAGAAGAAGUUAUCCCACUUUCAAAUCAGGUGAUUCUGUUGAGAUGAGGUGAUGAGGAGUGGAUACAUUGAUAGAGAAGAGUAUUGGGCAGUCAGUAACUUUGGGAUUUACCACAGUAACUUUAGUUUUACUGUGGUAACUAAGUGAAUUGAAGAGAAGUUACCCGGAUGGGUUAAACUGGAGUCUAGCUGAUGUUAAUCCUUUCUUACCCUAAGGAAAACGUGGGAAGAGGAUAAGGAAGGAUAAGGGAGCACUUUGACAGUCUGUAUGAUGCUGGAAAGGAGAGGAUGCUUUUUCACUAGUGCAAGCAUGUGAGAAAGCACAGCCAAGUGAUUCAAAAGGAGUUCCAGCCUGUCCAUUGACUCCACAUGCUUAUACAUUUCGAAAACCCUUGUUGCUCUCUAUAUAUAUACUGGUAAACCUCAUCAGUUAUCAAUUAAUGGAGUUUUGAGUAUUCUCUCUUGUUCUUUAUUCUCUUAGUCUCUCUUAAUCUCCUAAUCUCAUACAAACUACACAAAUCAUCUCUUGAUAUUCAUUCAUCACUCUACAUACACAAAAGUGUAUAUGGUAUCAGAGCCAGGUUGCGCAAAGGGGAGAGUGUGUUUGGUUAUGAUUUUCGAAAUCUGAGUUUCUUGAGGUGUUCUUGAGGUGUUCUUGGUGUUCUUGAUGUGUUCUUGGUGCUUUUUGGUGUCCUUGUGAUCGAAUUGAGUCUGUGGAGAGUUUCUGAUGGAUUCAAAGGAGUUAAGCAUGGUGGAGGAGACAAGAUCAAGAAGUGAAGAGAAGAAAGAGAGAGAAAACGAGUGUGCUUGG
This 5476-nucleotide long non-coding RNA is filed under the name Brassica napus (rape). RNAcentral describes it as "long non-coding RNA (BNAP_LNC023955)". The record is from RNAcentral. Lineage: Eukaryota; Viridiplantae; Streptophyta; Magnoliopsida; Brassicales; Brassicaceae.